Molecule: ribosomal RNA, 468 nt
Filed under: uncultured bacterium
Lineage: Bacteria
Description: partial 16S ribosomal RNA
Rfam family: Bacterial small subunit ribosomal RNA
Source: RNAcentral
GACGAACGCUGGCGGCGUGCUUAACACAUGCAAGUCGAACGGUAAGGCCCUGCUUUUGUGGGGUGCUCGAGUGGCGAACGGGUGAGUAACACGUGAGUAACCUGCCCUUGACUUUGGGAUAACUUCAGGAAACUGGGGCUAAUACCGGAUAGGAGCUCCUGCGGCAUGGUGGGGGUUGGAAAGUUUCGGCGGUUGGGGUUGGACGCGCGGGUUAUCAGCUUGUUGGUGGGGGAGUUGCUUACCAAGGCUUUGAAGGGUCGCCGGCCUGUGAGGGUGACCGGCCACAUUGGGACUGAGAGACGGCCCAGACGCCUACGGGAGGCAGCAGUGGGGAGUAUUGCACAACGGGCGGAAGCCUGAUGCAGCAACGCCGCGUGCGGGAUGACGGCCUGCGGGUUGCAAACCGCUUUCGCCUGUGACGAAGCGCGAGUGACGGUAAUGGGUAAAGAAGCACCGGCUAACUACGUG